AUUUAACAAAUGAGUAAGCAAAAAUUAUUUUUAUUAACAUAAUAUAAAAACUGUUAACUAAUUAUGGAGAGAAAAAAGAGGAAAGUGCAGAUAUAUAAAAUGAUCUUUUCGUUUUGAAGUCAACAUUCAAUGCAACAUGGGAACAAUGGAGGCAUUCUGUUUUCUGGGGCUUAGUACCCAGGACAAGCAGAUCCAAAUUCCUACAGAUUAGAGAAAAACUCAAGACAGAGCCAUUAGUGGGUUUAUAGCUUCUUUAUUCACAGUGGCAGUGAGAAAUGCACAAGGACAAGCCAUGUGCCUCCAAAGGCAGUGGGGUUACAGGAGGUAUCUGCCUUUGUGGACAUGGCAGUGGUGGGAUGCAAACACACACACACACAAACUACACACACACAAACUACACACACACACAUCCACAAGCAACCAUACCUAAUCCUGACCCCUAGUUGCUUAUAUGACUUACAGAUAAUAGGGGCCCAAAGUAAAACAUUAAAAAAAUAUACCUGUGAGCUCCUGGCCAAGCAGGUGGACCUGUCAGUUACCAUGACACCAGUUGCCAUGGAGAGACAGAUAUAUAGGGAACUUGAGAACUUCAUCUUUCCGAGUUCAUCUUCUCAACGUAUUAUAACUCAGGAGUGUAGAAGAGACAAAGUUUACUUGACAUGCAAGACUUGUCUGGAAGCCUCCAUGGAAAAAACUGUAUGCCAGAGUCACCCAAAAUUGAAAAAGAAGAAGUCAUUUAUAUGCUCAGAUCUCUCUCCUUUCUUACUGGCCAGAGGACAUCCCAAGAGUUGUCACUCUCCUGACAUUUCAAGAUUUUGCCAUACAUCAUCUAAUGCUGUUGCCCAGGAAGCCAGAUACAGUGUCUUGGGAUGAAUAUUUUUAUUGCAGACUGAUAAUGAAAUUGCAAACUAGAGGUAGGACGUUAACAAAAGUGAACAGAUAAAGGAGGCUCACAUUACAAAAGUUUCCCAGCAUACCAAAUUCUUCCCUGUAUUAAUUUUCUCCUUGUUGUUUACCCUACCUAGAACUUAAGACCCAUAAGCCAGGGAUGAGGUAGGAAGUCUAUUUUCAGUUCCUAUUUUAUGAGAGCAGUUUAAAAACAAAGUGGAAAAAACUUGAAUUAAAAGAUGUUUAUUUGGUUCGAAAAGUUUUGAAGUCUAGGUGCGAGAAUUGUCUUAAAAAUCAUUGGAAAUUUAAAUUGCAAAGGAAACUAUGAUUGCUUUGUAUGUUUUUUGCAUAUGUGUCUUUCCAAUUUUCACACGAACAUUCUGAAGUACCCUCAUAUAUGUAGUGCUCAAUAAAUAGUUGUUGAAAGAAUGAAGUACUUCA
This 1329-nucleotide long non-coding RNA is filed under the name Oryctolagus cuniculus (rabbit). RNAcentral describes it as "lncRNA (ENSOCUG00000037462.1)". The record is from RNAcentral. Lineage: Eukaryota; Metazoa; Chordata; Mammalia; Lagomorpha; Leporidae.